Molecule: transfer RNA, 73 nt
Filed under: Acidimicrobiales bacterium
Lineage: Bacteria; Bacillati; Actinomycetota; Acidimicrobiia; Acidimicrobiales
Description: tRNA-Gly
Source: RNAcentral
GGCCCGGAUGGCGUGGAUGCCGUGGCCGCUACCACCGGUCCGGGCCUCGUGGGGUCCCUGCUCGUCGGGGUCA